UACGUAGGGGGCAAGCGUUGUCCGGAAUCAUUGGGCGUAAAGAGCGUGUAGGCGGCCCGGUAAGUCCGCUGUGAAAGUCCAGGGCUCAACCCUGGGAUGCCGGUGGAUACUGUCGGGCUCGAGUCCGGAAGAGGAGUGUGGAAUUCCUGGUGUAGCGGUGAAAUGCGCAGAUAUCAGGAGGAACACCAAUGGCGAAGGCAGCACUCUGGGGACGUGACUGACGCUGAGACGCGAAAGCGUGGGGAGCAAACAGG
RNAcentral lists this ribosomal RNA (254 nucleotides) under uncultured bacterium. RNAcentral's name for it is "partial 16S ribosomal RNA". It matches the Rfam family "Bacterial small subunit ribosomal RNA", at positions 524 to 776 of the family's 1533-position model. The record is from RNAcentral.